RNAcentral lists this ribosomal RNA (263 nucleotides) under uncultured Lachnospiraceae bacterium. Its description in RNAcentral is "partial 16S ribosomal RNA". It matches the Rfam family "Bacterial small subunit ribosomal RNA", at positions 75 to 339 of the family's 1533-position model. Lineage: Bacteria; Bacillati; Bacillota; Clostridia; Lachnospirales; Lachnospiraceae. The record is from RNAcentral.
CUUGCUAUGAGCUGUUUUAGCGGCGGACGGGUGAGUAACGCGUGGGUAACCUGCCUCAUACAGGGGGAUAACAGUUAGAAAUGACUGCUAAUACCGCAUAAGCGCACAGCUUCGCAUGAAGCAGUGUGAAAAACUCCGGUGGUGUGAGAUGGACCCGCGUCUGAUUAGCUAGUUGGCAGGGCAACGGCCUACCAAGGCGACGAUCAGUAGCCGACCUGAGAGGGUGACCGGCCACAUUGGGACUGAGACACGGCCCAAACUCC